AAAGGAAUAGACGGGGGCCCGCACAAGCGGAGGAACAUGUGGUUUAAUUCGAUGAUACGCGAGGAACCUUACCUGGGCUUGAAUGCACGGUGCAUGGGGGGGAGACCCUUCUUUCCUUCGGGACUCCGUGCAAGGUGCUGCAUGGUUGUCGUCAGCUCGUGCCGUGAGGUGUCGGGUUAAGUCCCAUAACGAGCGCAACCCUUACCGUUAGUUGCCAUCGGGUAGAGCCGGGGACUCUAGCGGAACUGCCACCGUAAGGUGCGAGGAAGGUGGGGAUGACGUCAAAUCAGCACGGCCCUUAUGUCCAGGGCGACACACGUGUUACAAUGGCCGGUACAGAGGGUCGCCACCGCGCGAGCGGGAGCCAAUCUCAAAAGCCGGUCCCAGUUCGGAUCGGAGUCUGCAACUCGACUCCGUGAAGCCGGAUUCGCUAGUAAUCGCGCAUCAGCCACGGCGCGGUGAAUACGUUCCCGGGCCUUGUACACACCGCCCGU
RNAcentral lists this ribosomal RNA (494 nucleotides) under uncultured bacterium. Its description in RNAcentral is "bacterial SSU rRNA". It matches the Rfam family "Bacterial small subunit ribosomal RNA", at positions 903 to 1397 of the family's 1533-position model. The record is from RNAcentral.